Molecule: transfer RNA, 62 nt
Filed under: Hoplosaenidea subcostata
Lineage: Eukaryota; Metazoa; Arthropoda; Insecta; Coleoptera; Chrysomelidae
Description: tRNA-Arg
Source: RNAcentral
AAAUAAGAAGCAAAAUUUUUGCAUUUAGUUUCGACCUAAAAAUUUGAUAAUAUCCUUAUUUU